Molecule: non-coding RNA, 91 nt
Filed under: uncultured Psychrobacillus sp.
Lineage: Bacteria; Bacillati; Bacillota; Bacilli; Caryophanales; Bacillaceae
Description: Purine riboswitch
Rfam family: Purine riboswitch aptamer (bases 12-88)
About the family: Riboswitches are metabolite binding domains within certain messenger RNAs that serve as precision sensors for their corresponding targets. Allosteric rearrangement of mRNA structure is mediated by ligand binding, and this results in modulation of gene expression.
Source: RNAcentral
CAAAUAGUACCUACUCGUAUAAUCUCAGGAAUAUGGCCUGCAAGUUUCUACCGACUUACCGUAAACAAGUCGACUAUGAGUGACAAUGGAU